GAACGCACAUUGCGCCUCCCUCCACGGGAGGCAUGCCUGUCUGAGCGUCAUUAAAAUCGAUAGACCCGUCUGGGUCUGUGCUGGGCCUCGCGCGUCGGCGCGUCGCCUCGAAGGUAUCGGUCGUACGAGCGGACGUGAUCCAUUAGGACUUGACACCGUUCGGGGACCCUAAAUCUAAGACUUGACCUCAGAUCAGGUAGGGACACCGCCUGAACUUAAG
RNAcentral lists this unclassified non-coding RNA (220 nucleotides) under uncultured fungus. RNAcentral describes it as "sequence contains 5.8S rRNA gene". Lineage: Eukaryota; Fungi. The record is from RNAcentral.